Ctenopharyngodon idella (grass carp) is the source of this 5521-nucleotide long non-coding RNA. RefSeq lists it as uncharacterized. The record is from RefSeq and is a predicted model, not a curated record. The transcript has 5 exons. NCBI's taxonomy places the organism in Eukaryota, Metazoa, Chordata, Actinopteri, Cypriniformes, Xenocyprididae.
UUAAAAAUACAGUAAAAACAGUAAUAUUGUGAAAUAUUAUUACAGUUUAAAAUAACUGUUUUCUAUUUGAAUAUAUUUUACAAAGUAAUUUAAUCCUGUGAUGGCAAAGCUGAAUUUUCAGCAUCAUUAGUCUUCAGUGUCACAUGAUCCUUCAGAAAUCAUUAUAAUAUGCCGAUUUGCUGCUCAAGAAACAUUUGUUAUUAUUAUCAAUGUUGAAAACAGUUUGCAUCUGGUAGCAUCUCAGGUCGGCUGUCAUUCUGCGCCUGCGAAGAGCUCAUUGUAGCUGAUGGUGAGCUGAGUCCCAGACCCUCUUGCUCUCCCAGAACCAGUAGUCGACAGCUGGUACAUCCGAUGGUUCUCCUGACCAAGGGACGAGAGGGGGUUGAUAACCGAGUACGCACUGGAAGGGAGAGAGUCCAGUGGUUGGUUGGCGGAGGGAGUUCUGGGCGUACUCAGCCCAACCCAGAAACUGGUUCCAAGAUUUCUGGUGGCCAUGGCAGAAGGUAUGUAGGAAUCGGCUGAUCUCUUGGAUCUUCCUCUCCAUCUACCCGUUCGGUCAGACACAAUGUCCUCUGGAAUACCAUAGUAUCUGAAUAUGUGGUUGAACAUAAGUUCUGCAGUUUCCAUGGCUGUAGGUAGUCCCUUGAGGGGAAUCAGUCGACAGGACUUGGAGAACCUGUCAAUAACCACCAGGAUACAGGUAUUGUUGUCGGAGGCAGGCAGGUCGGUGAUGAAAUCCACUCCUAGGUGUGACCAGGGUCUGUUGGGAACGGGCAGAGGAUGUAGCUUGCCAGAUGGAAGAUGGCGAGGGCUCUUGGAGAUGGCGCAUUCCUGACAUCCCUGUAUGUACCUUCUCACAUCCCUAGCCAUGUUUGGCCACCAGAAGCGCCCCUUUAGCAGUGAGAGGGUUUCAUUGGACCCUGGCUGGCCAGUGCCCAGAGAUGUGUGGGAUGAAUGGAUGAAUGGAGUGCGCUGAGUCCUGCUGGGGGGCAGCCCGGCGGAGCGUUGGCAGAGGCAUUGGAGGAGGGCACGGAAGUUUCAGACCAGUGAAUGGGACUCACGAUAAUGUUCUCAGGGAGAAUAGGCUCAGGUUCUUCAUUGGUUUCCUCUGAGGUGUAUAGACGGGACAAGGCAUCUAUCUUCACAUUCUUGGGACCAGAAUGAUAGGAGAUACUGAAGUGGAAAUGUGUGAAGAACAACGCCCAACGAACUUGCCGUGGAUUUAAUCUCUUAGUAUCUCUUAAGUACUCCAAGUUCUUAUGGUCAGUGAGUACCGUAAAUGGGUGCUUGGCGCCCUCCAGCCAAUGCCUCCACUCUUCCAGGGCCAGUUUGAUGGCUAGAAGUUCCCUGAUGCCGACGUUGUAGUUCCUCUCCGCCGGGCUGAGUUUGUGGGAGAAGAAGGCACAUGGAUGGAGUCUGGCUGGAUUCCCCUGCUGCUGCGAGAGCACCGCUCCUACCCCUGUGGUAGAGGCGUCUACCUCAAUGACGAAGGGCUUCUCUGGAUCAGGGUGAAUGAGGAGCGGUGCGCUGGUGAAUGCUUCUUUCAGGGUGCUGAAGGCUUCGUUGGCCGCUGGUGACCAGGACAGAGACUAGGCUUGUUACGGAGGAGGUUUGUAAGAGGGUAUGCGAUGGAGCUGUAAUUCUGGAUGAAUCUUCUGUAGAAGUUUGCAAACUCGAGGAAUCUUUGGAGCUCUUUGAUGGUGGAUGGAGUGGGCCAGUUCUUUAUGGCUCCUACCUUCUCCUCGUCCAUUUGGAUGCUACUGCUGCUGAUGUUAUAUCCAAGGAACUGCACUAAAGGGUUGAUGGAAGGAGCACUUCUCGGCUUUGAGGAAUAGCUGGAACUCUCUCAUGAUCUGCUCCGGGAGUAGAUCAGUAUAUCAUCGAUGUAGACCAGGACGAACGUGUGGAGGAACUCCCGGAGCACCUCAUGGAUGAAAUCUUGGAAUACGGAGGGGGCGUUGACCAGGCCAUACGGCAUGACGCAAUAUUCAUAGUGUGCAGUAGGGGUCACAAAAGCUGUCUUUCACUUGUCCCCCUCACAUAUCCGGAUGAGGUUGUAUGCGCUGCGGAGGUCCAACUUUGUGAAGACAGUGACACCGCGUAGAUGUUCCAGAGCCACUGGGUCGAGGGGAAGAGGAUAGCGGAACUUCACAGUGAUUCUGUUGAGAGCCUGGUAAUCGAUACAAGGCUGCAAGCCUCCGUCCUUUUUGGCCACGAAGAAGAAGCUCGAAGCAGCAGGGGAAGUGGAAGGAUGGAUGUAGCCCUGAUGUAAUGCUUCCUCGAUGUACUCCUCCAUGGCUUUCUGCUCAGGGAUGGAUAACGGGUAAAUUUUCCCACGAGACACUGACUCACCCGGAAGCAGAUCGAUGGCACAGUCCCACGGCCGGUAUGGAGGCAGCUUGGAAGCUUUCUUCGGGCAGAAAACAUGACUGAAGGGGGCGUAACAAGGUGGAACAUCCACAGACUUUUUCCACUGGGCUCUCUAUGGAGGUAGAGCAGACAGGAAGCAUCUCAGAAUGAGGAGCAGGAGGCUGAGGAAUGAGAGGGAAACAGUUUGGGAUACAGGUGUCGUCCCACUUCAGGAUUUCGCCGGUGGCCCAAGAGAUAAUGGGAUUGUGCUGCUCCAACCAAGGGCGCCCUAGUAUCACAUCAGCGGUGGAAUCCUCCAGAACCAGGAGAUGUUGAUGUUCCACAUGCAGUAAUCCGACUUGGAGCAUGACUGGACCAGCACAUAACUGGACACGUUUACGACUGAGUGGUUUGCCUGUCACCGAAUGGAUUUGGUAGAUGGACGGCAUGGUUGUGGUCUUGAGUUUAAGAUGGCGGCAGAGGGCACCAAAGAUGAAGUUGCUGGCUGACCCGGAGUCGAGGAGAGCAUUGACUGGAAUGGAAACAUCGACAGUAGUAAGCAUUACAAUGGUAGAGAGUGGCUUCAUUUUCUUAAUGGAGAGAAUAAUGGCACUCACCAUGUGACGAGGAGGACGAAUGGGGCAUGUUGAGAUGACAUGCCCAGUAGCACCACAGUACAAACAUAAGCCCCCGGACAGCCACCUCUGCCGCUAAGAGAGUGUCAAUCUGUUAUUCUCCAGUUGCAUACGUUCUUGGCCUGGUUCUGGAGGGCUGAUGGAUCGUGAGAAUAGCGGUUGGCCCUGGUGUUCUUCUAGACACGACUGCAUACGAGUGGCGACUCUGAUGGAGAGCUGGAUGAAUCGUUCGAGGCCAAUGGUAUCCUCGUAUGCAGCGAGAUGCAGCCGUACCCUGGGAUCAAACCCUGACGAUAGGUGGUGAUUAACGAUUGCUUAUUCCAUCCGCUGGCAGCUGCAAGAGUCCUGAACUUGAGGGCAUAAUCAUUAACAGACUUUGAACACUGCAAGAGGAAGCCGUUGCAGUCCUCCGCCGAGCCAGAGAAGGGCGCUGGUUUGGCCAUGGGACUGGCGUACACCGGUGGUGAAGGAGUGACUGUGGUGGUGACGGAAGUGAUGGCUGGUGUGGAUGCAGGUGGAUUGGUGGUUUGCAGAUCGUGGAUGGCCGUUGACAGGAUGAACACACGAUGAAGGUGGGUACACACACACAGACAAGGAAGCACGGAGACUGGGAAAACACGCUGGAGUACAACAGUGAUGAGGUGCUGAUGGGGAACAGGUGUGUGUGUUUAGUACUCUGGUGAGAGAGUGCGCUGUGAUUGGCUGACGGUGGAGCCUGGCGUGUCUGUGACAAAGGGAAGGAAAGCCAAGGCUACCAUGUCAACCUCAUCAAGAAAUGGCACAAGAAAAUGCCUGAGGGGGAGAGGGCCUUGAUAGCAUGCAAGGUGUCCCCAAAAGAUGUGGGAGAUGACGACCAAGUGGAUGAUGAGGCUGUGAAACAUUCCCAAGCAGUGGAACGUUGCAAAGCGCUAAAUGGCUGUGAGGGAGAGCGGAUGCGCCAGACUCCGGAGUGUGGUGAUCUUCAAAUCGCGCCGCCACCAGCGUUCUAUCUAAGAUCAGGCAAAAAGUAAACAGGCCCAGGAAUCGGUGGUGAGUCAGGACCAUCUGAAGAGUGGCCAGGGGAGAACCUUGAAGAGGUUCUUGCUGACUACACUGACCUCUUCCGACUGGAGCCUGGGAGAACCAAGGUGCUGGAGCAUAUUAUUCAUCUGACUGACUCUAACCCUAUUCAGCAGAGGCCGUACCGUGUAUCAGAGAGCCUUGUCACCCCACUGAAAAAGAAGAUUUACCCUCUGGAGUCUGAGGCUGAUUUGGGUUCCUGGAGUAGUUUUGACAUGCCCUGACAUUUGUGCUUUUUUCAGUUGUUUAUAAACAUAUUAAUUACAAAAGUCUAAUUACACUGUAUUCAGCAGAAACUAGGCUACAAUAAUAUGUGAGCAACAAGUAUGUGCAUGUUUGUAUUUUUGAGAUAAUUAUUUAUAUGCAUGGUUUUUGGGGAAAAAAAAAAAUCACUGAAAUAAGACCUCAAAAUGCAUACUAAAUGUUUUUUCACAAGACUUUUGGGAAUUGUAUAUUUUAGUCUAGAGUUUUUGCUUCAAAAUGAUGUGGAAAUUAUCCUGCCUACUCAGACACAAAAAACAAUGUAUUGAUUUUAAAUUUCUAAGACUCUUUUUGUUUAGGAAGUCUGUAUGUGAAGAGGCGUGAAUCUUCAUGAAUAAUGCUGUGAUUCACACCUGAGGAGAUUAAGACCCUGCCCCUAAUGAGCCGCAUAAUGAGCCAUUCAGUCAGGAAUGUGACUGAGUCAACUAAGAAAGAAAGCAUGACAAAAGACAUAUAAUUUUUUUGUUUGAAGUUCAUUUAAAAUAUAGUUAACUAUAUAAAUGAGAGUCAAAGACAAAUUUUGAGUACACAGUUAUACCUGGAAAUAAAUCCUGUUCAAAGAUAUAUGUGAACAUCACAUACCUGGCAUUUGGUGUUUCUGCAAUGGAGGGAAAAAAAAAAAAAAGUCAGUGAUCUCAGUAUCAUAUGCAUGCAGUCCAGUGUUGACCAAUAUAAUUCUCAAAUCUGUGAGAUAAACCCUCUGUGAGCAUGCUGAUAACAGGAUCAUAUCAGCUAUUGUAUUAACGUUAAUAUAAUGUCCACUCUUAACAGAAAACAUGAUUUUUGUGAUCUUCUGCAUGCACGUAUUAUUGCACAUCAUGUGAAGAAAAUUUUGUAUAGGCCUAUAUUUUUAACUACCAGUCAAAAAUUGGAUGCAUUACUAUUUAUAAUGUUUUUGAAAGAAGUCACAUGCUCAUCAAGCCUGCAUUUAUUUGAUCAAAAAUACAGAAAAAAAAACAAAAACAAAAAAAACAGCAAUACUGUGAAAUAUUAUUACAAUUUAAAAUAAUAGUUUUUUAUUUUAAUAUACUUUAAAAUAUAAUGUAUUUCUGUGAUGCAAAGCGUCUAAACAUUCAUGUUACCUCUAUGGCAUUUUAUAUAUUAUAUUUGUUAUAUUAUAGAGCCUAAAUGUUGAAGGGUUAGUUCACCCAAAAAUGAAAAUUCUGUCAUUUGUUACUCACCCUCAUGCCGUUUUACACCCGUAAGACCUUCGUUAA